AUGAUCGGGAGGCCCAUGAAGAAUGGAAGGUGUAGAUGGGCGAGGAAGGUAGGACUAGAGGUAGCCAUAGGAGAUGAGGCCAACGACAUGGAGCUAUGGCCAAAAAUCUGGGACUGGAGAAUCAGAAGCACCAAAGAAUUUGAUUUGCCCCCGAGAAUCACCAAAGAAUCACAAUAUACAGAUAUAUCUAAUGAUUUGAGAUACAUAUUAUUUGUCUUAAAUUUGUGUAGCUACGGACGAAUACAUUCGGACCAUCGCCCUAUAAUUGCUGUACUAAAUGGUCAAAGCGUGUCAAGUGAUGGGGGCGGGAGUCCACAGUGUUUUCGGUUUGAGGCACGAUGGCUGCAAGAGGAGGGCUGCCAGGAGGUCGUGGAGGAGGCGUGGAAUAGGGCCUUUGGUGAUGGGGGAGGGUCGACGAGGCGACCGGUAGCCCAGCAGGGGCAGUCGAUCAUCUCAAAGGUGAAUGAGCUCAUAAACCCCGUUACCGAGAACUGGGACGAGGCUCUCGUGAGGGAGCUUUUCACACAGGAGGACGCCAAGAUCAUUUUAGCGAUCCCUCUCAGAGCGGGGAUGGAGGAUUUUCUCUCCUGGCACUAUGACAAAAGAGGGCUUUUCUCGGUCAAAUCGGCAUACCAACUGGGGGUGAGUCUGAAAGAAACAAAGAAGCACCAGGACGCGGAGGGGUCUACCGGUCAGGUGCAGGCUAGGGAGCAAUGGCAACACAUCUGGAAGCUUGAUCUGCCGGGGAAAGUUCGCAUGUUCCUGUGGCGUUUGGCGCAUAACAGCCUGCCAACGAGAAUGAAUAUUAAGCGGAAGCAUGUGGAGCUUGAUACUCUGUGUCCUAUGUGCCUGAGGCUUGAUGAGGAUGGGGGGCAUCUUUUCCUUAAAUGUAAGAAGGUGAAAGCUGUGUGGAGGGAGCAGAACCUUGAGGAUGUCCGGCUGAUGCUAAGUGAUUGCCAUGAUUCCUACCAGGUGAUCAAGCAAAUAUGUUCGCUGCCAACAGAUAAGAGGUUGCGUGUGGCUAUUCUCCUCUGGGAUUGGUGGACAGCAAGGAAUAAAACCAACGCCGGCGAAAAGCAGGGGACUGCACAGGAGGUUAGUGGGUUUAUUACUAGGCACUUGCAAGAUUUUUGUAGCGUGCAGCAGCAGAGCAUCCCUCCGUCAGUGACAGACCAACGAUGGGUGCCACCUGAACCUGGAGUGGUUAAAUUUAACAUGGACGCAGCGUUCCAUCAAGAGGCUGAGGCUGGAGCAUGGGGUUUCAUUGCUAGGGACGAGAUGGGCAAUUUUAUCGCAGCGGCGGCUGGCAAGUUGGAGCACAUCAGGAGCCCCCUCCAAGCUGAGCUCAGUGCGUGCAUGAUGGCAAUUGAUGGGGCUGCUGUUUUGGGGGCUCAGCGUGUCGUUUUUGAGUCUGAUUGCCUAACAAUGAUUAAUGCUCUAAAUGGGCGGGAGUAUGAUGCUGCAGAGCUGGGCGUCCUCUUCAGAGAAGCUAGAAGUUUAUGCCGGCUUUCCUUUGAGUCUUAUGAUUUCAGGUUUUGUCGUAGGGGCUGUAAUUUAAUUGCGCACAAUCUGGCGCAGUUUGGCCUAGGGGCUGUUGUUUCCCUAUCUGUGUGGGAUGUAGAAGCCCCAGACUUUGUUUCGGCUCUGGUUGGCACCGAGAUGGUGAACCAGGCAACCCGCGCUCUAUACUGCUCCUUGUUCGUCAAAGUUGAGACAGAUAGAGGAUGCGGUAGGGGAGGCCGGGAAGGGUGCUGCUGGCCGCACGGCUCGUCCAUGUGGCUGCUCGGCGACGUCGAGCGUGUGGCGGGGCUGGAGGAGUUGGGUCGAGCAGACCGCUUGAACGGCGCUGCUGCUGCUCGUUUGGAGUGCACGGGCCGUGUUGGCUUCUUCGAGAGGCUCUGGGACGCCGGUGGCGCAGGCGCCACGGGUCUCGCCGCGAUGUUCGGGCAGCGGGCCCGGCUUCGGAUGUGCACCGACGGUCAAUUCAGGGCCGCGGAGAGGAGCGGCGGCAAGGUCAGCGCCGCGUCUCUGUCCAAUCUCCCUCUUCUCUCCGUCGACAGGAACCGGAGAAAGGCGCCGCCAUUGGCGACCAUGGAGCUCAGUGCCCCGCCUUCCUCCACCUCGCCUCUGACCCCCUCUGCACCGGAUCCACCUAGCCAAGACCUCUGUGGCUCUGUCGCGUCGUCCCCGAGGGCGCUGCUUGCAGGUAGCCCGCCAACAAGCUCCGGCACCAGCCCUCCUCGGUCACCUCCACGGUUGCCCUCACCGUCGUGGUGA
RNAcentral lists this ribosomal RNA (2277 nucleotides) under Triticum aestivum (bread wheat). RNAcentral describes it as "partial small subunit ribosomal RNA". Lineage: Eukaryota; Viridiplantae; Streptophyta; Magnoliopsida; Poales; Poaceae. The record is from RNAcentral.